Molecule: ribosomal RNA, 370 nt
Filed under: Meneristes australis
Lineage: Eukaryota; Metazoa; Arthropoda; Insecta; Coleoptera; Tenebrionidae
Description: partial 12S ribosomal RNA
Source: RNAcentral
GAUACCCUAUUAUUAAGAAUGUAAUUUUUGGCUUAAGUUAUUAUUAGUUAAGAUCUUUAAAAUUAAAGAAUUUGGCGGUAUUUUAGUCUGUUCAGAGGAACCUGUUUUUUAAUCGAUAAUCCACGAUAAUUAUUACUUUUGCUUUAAAUUUACAUAUCGUCGUUAACAAGAAUUUUUGGAGGAUAGAUAAUUCUUGAGAUUUAAUAUUUUAGUAUAGUUCAGAUCAAGGUGUAGUUUAUGUUGAAGUUAAAAUGGGUUACAUUAUAUUUAUAUGUAGUUUUUAGUUUUAAAAGCUUUAAUAAAAUGGAUUUGUAAGUAAAUUUUUAUUUUUAUGAAAUUUGAUUAAGCUCUAAAAUAUGCACACAUCGCC